AUUCUUUUAGUAUAAAAAAUAUAUUUAACUUCCAAUUAAAAGAUCUUAUAAGAGAAAGAAUA
This 62-nucleotide transfer RNA is filed under the name Perissonemia borneenis. Its description in RNAcentral is "tRNA-Gly". The record is from RNAcentral. Lineage: Eukaryota; Metazoa; Arthropoda; Insecta; Hemiptera; Tingidae.